RNAcentral lists this ribosomal RNA (503 nucleotides) under Salmonella enterica subsp. enterica. RNAcentral's name for it is "bacterial SSU rRNA". It matches the Rfam family "Bacterial small subunit ribosomal RNA", at positions 1040 to 1533 of the family's 1533-position model. Lineage: Bacteria; Pseudomonadati; Pseudomonadota; Gammaproteobacteria; Enterobacterales; Enterobacteriaceae. The record is from RNAcentral. RNAcentral also lists the same sequence under 1 other name.
GCUGCAUGGCUGUCGUCAGCUCGUGUUGUGAAAUGUUGGGUUAAGUCCCGCAACGAGCGCAACCCUUAUCCUUUGUUGCCAGCGGUUAGGCCGGGAACUCAAAGGAGACUGCCAGUGAUAAACUGGAGGAAGGUGGGGAUGACGUCAAGUCAUCAUGGCCCUUACGACCAGGGCUACACACGUGCUACAAUGGCGCAUACAAAGAGAAGCGACCUCGCGAGAGCAAGCGGACCUCAUAAAGUGCGUCGUAGUCCGGAUUGGAGUCUGCAACUCGACUCCAUGAAGUCGGAAUCGCUAGUAAUCGUGGAUCAGAAUGCCACGGUGAAUACGUUCCCGGGCCUUGUACACACCGCCCGUCACACCAUGGGAGUGGGUUGCAAAAGAAGUAGGUAGCUUAACCUUCGGGAGGGCGCUUACCACUUUGUGAUUCAUGACUGGGGUGAAGUCGUAACAAGGUAACCGUAGGGGAACCUGCGGUUGGAUCACCUCCUUACCUUAAAGAA